UUGAAAUACCACCCUUUAAUGUUUGAUGUUCUAACGUGGAUCCGUGAUCCGGGUUGCGGACAGUGUCUGGUGGGUAGUUUGACUGGGGCGGUCUCCUCCUAAAGAGUAACGGAGGAGCACGAAGGUUGGCUAAUCCUGGUCGGACAUCAGGAGGUUAGUGCAAUGGCAUAAGCCAGCUUGACUGCGAGCGUGACGGCGCGAGCAGGUGCGAAAGCAGGUCAUAGUGAUCCGGUGGUUCUGAAUGGAAGGGCCAUCGCUCAACGGAUAAAAGGUACUCCGGGGAUAACAGGCUGAUACCGCCCAAGAGUUCAUAUCGACGGCGGUGUUUGGCACCUCGAUGUCGGCUCAUCACAUCCUGGGGCUGAAGUAGGUCCCAAGGGUAUGGCUGUUCGCCAUUUAAAGUGGUACGCGAGCUGGGUUUAGAACGUCGUGAGACAGUUCGGUCCCUAUCUGCCGUGGGCGCUGGAGAACUGAGGGGGGCUGCUCCUAGUACGAGAGGACCGGAGUGGACGCAUCACUGGUGUUCGGGUUGUCAUGCCAAUGGCACUGCCCGGUAGCUAAAUGCGGAAGAGAUAAGUGCUGAAAGCAUCUAAGCACGAAACUUGCCCCGA
This 611-nucleotide ribosomal RNA is filed under the name Salmonella enterica. Its description in RNAcentral is "partial 23S ribosomal RNA". It matches the Rfam family "Bacterial large subunit ribosomal RNA", at positions 2192 to 2802 of the family's 2925-position model. The record is from RNAcentral. Lineage: Bacteria; Pseudomonadati; Pseudomonadota; Gammaproteobacteria; Enterobacterales; Enterobacteriaceae.